This 631-nucleotide long non-coding RNA is filed under the name Malus domestica (apple). RNAcentral's name for it is "long non-coding RNA (MDOM_LNC001098)". The record is from RNAcentral. Lineage: Eukaryota; Viridiplantae; Streptophyta; Magnoliopsida; Rosales; Rosaceae.
AAGUUGUGCUAGAAACAUGGUUCAUACUUAAGUGAGGGAAUGUAAGAAUAUAAGUAAAAGAUUAUUGUGAUAGCCGAUUAGUUCAAAUUGGUAGAGAAAAGUCUUAUGAAAAGAGGAUUGCUUUGUCCUAAUUUACAUGGAUUUGGAUUUAGUAUGUAAACUGGUUUCUACCACUUGUAAUUUGAUAAGGAGACUAUUUUUGUGUUCUAUGUGAAUUCUAAUAGGAGCGUCAUAUAUAUGUUUGUCUAUACAAAUAGUGGUCACUACUCUUAUAGAAAAAACGCUCGUUAUUGGACUUAGGUUCUAUUGUAAUGGAACAUAUUGUUUUUGCAAAAUAGAAAAAGCUUACUAUUCAAAUUGGUCAGACUUCAUUUUCAUUGUUAUUUUUAAAGAUUCUUACCUCUAGUAAAAAAAAAUCCCUUGCACGAUGAAAGACGAAAUUUUAGACUUAGUCACGCAAUAUGUUUUAAAAAAAAAAUUUCAUUAAAAAAUUAUUUUUUAAAAACUUUGCGCGACGAAAUCCAAUUAUUUCGUCGCCUAAACCCGAUUUAUUUUCUUUUUUAUUUAAUUUUAUAUUUUAAAUUGUAAAAUAAAUUAUUUUCAUAGUUUUUAUUAUUUUUUAAAAACUUUG